This 497-nucleotide ribosomal RNA is filed under the name uncultured bacterium. RNAcentral's name for it is "partial 16S ribosomal RNA". It matches the Rfam family "Bacterial small subunit ribosomal RNA", at positions 28 to 507 of the family's 1533-position model. The record is from RNAcentral.
GAUGAACGCUGGCGGCGUGCCUAAUACAUGCAAGUCGAGCGAACAGAUGAGGAGCUUGCUCCUCUGACGUUAGCGGCGGACGGGUGAGUAACACGUGGAUAACCUACCUAUAAGACUGGGAUAACUUCGGGAAACCGGAUCUAAUCCCGGAGAAUAUAUUGAACCGCAUGGUUCAAUAGUGAAAGACGGUUUUGCUGUCACUUAUAGAUGGAUCCGCGCCGCAUUAGCUAGUUGGUAAGGUAACGGCUUACCAAGGCAACGAUGCGUAGCCGACCUGAGAGAGUGAUCGGCCACACUAGAACUGAGACACGGUCCAGACUCCUACGGGAGGCAGCAGUAGGGAAUGUUACGCAAUGGGCGAAAGCCUGACGGAGCAACGCCGCGUGAGUGAUGAAGGUCUUCGGAUCGUAAAAAUCUGUUAUUAGGGAAGAACAAAUGUGUAAGUAACUAUGCACGUCUUGACGGUACCUAAUCAGAAAGCCACGGCUAACUACGUG